AAGUCGUAACAAGGUUUCCGUAGGUGAACCUGCGGAAGGAUCAUUAUUGAAUACAACUUGGUAUGGGUUGUUGCUGGCUUCUAAGAAGCAUGUGCACAUCCAUUCCAUUUUUUUAAACCUCCUGUGCACCUUGUGUAGACCUCUUGAACGAACAAAUUGUAUCAAAGAUUCUUUGAUGAGAUGGCAAUUGCUGUGCGGCUUAAAACUCCCUCAGCUCUUUAGCCUGUGGGUUCUAAAAAGAGGAUCUAUGUCAUUUAACUCCAAAAGAAUGUAUCAGAAUGUAGUCUCUGGGCCAUUUGUGCCCUUGAAAUACAAAUACAACUUUCAACAACGGAUCUCUUGGCUCUCGCAUCGAUGAAGAACGCAGCGAAAUGCGAUAAGUAAUGUGAAUUGCAGAAUUCAGUGAAUCAUCGAAUCUUUGAACGCAUCUUGCACUCCUUGGUAUUCCGAGGAGUAUGCCUGUUUGAGUGUCAUGAACAUUUCAACCUUUUUCUUUUGCUUGAAAGAGGCUUGGAUCUCUGGAGGGUUUGCUGAAGAAACAUCUAGUUCAUCCAGCUCCUCUGAAACAUAUUAGCAGAGUUUGCACCUGGUGAAAAAUCCCUUUGAUAUGAUAAUUAUCAGUGUCAUUGGAAUCUCCAGACUUUCUAAUUGAAAGGACUUUGCUUCCAAUCGUCUUACAAAGACACUUUGAACUUUUGACCUCAAAUCAGGUAGGACUACCCGCUGAACUUAA
This 733-nucleotide ribosomal RNA is filed under the name uncultured fungus. Its description in RNAcentral is "eukaryotic LSU rRNA". The stretch from base 320 to 473 matches the Rfam family "5.8S ribosomal RNA". Lineage: Eukaryota; Fungi. The record is from RNAcentral.